AUUGAACGCUGGCGGCAUGCCUUACACAUGCAAGUCGAACGGCAGCGGGGGAGAAGCUUGCUUUUCCCUGCCGGCGAGUGGCGAACGGGUGAGUAAUACAUCGGAACGUGCCCUGUAGUGGGGGAUAACUAGUCGAAAGAUUAGCUAAUACCGCAUACGACCUGAGGGUGAAAGUGGGGGACCGCAAGGCCUCCUGCUAUAGGAGCGGCCGAUGUCUGAUUAGCUAGUUGGUGGGGUAAAGGCAUACCAAGGCGACGAUCAGUAGCUGGUCUGAGAGGACGAUCAGCCACACUAGGACUGAGACACGGCCCAGACUCCUACGGGAGGCAGCAGUGGGGAAUUUUGGACAAUGGGCGAAAGCCUGAUCCAGCAAUGCCGCGUGUGUGAAGAAGGCCUUCGGGUUGUAAAGCACUUUUGUCCGGAAAGAAAUGGCUCUGGUUAAUACCUGGGGUCGAUGACGGUACCGGAAGAAUAAGGACCGGCUAACUACGUGCCAGCAGCCGCGGUAA
This 509-nucleotide ribosomal RNA is filed under the name uncultured bacterium. Its description in RNAcentral is "partial 16S ribosomal RNA". It matches the Rfam family "Bacterial small subunit ribosomal RNA", at positions 30 to 523 of the family's 1533-position model. The record is from RNAcentral.